Molecule: long non-coding RNA, 768 nt
Organism: Gallus gallus (chicken)
Lineage: Eukaryota; Metazoa; Chordata; Aves; Galliformes; Phasianidae
Source: Ensembl
UGAAGGUGUCUCUUGUUGGAGAUUCCUGUUUACCUGAUGUCUUCUGAAAGAGCAUGAAGAAAUCUCUGGUGAACAAAAACUACCUUGAAGAGUCUCUCCUCUGCCAAAUAGAAAGCAGUAAUACUUUGAUAUUGGAAAUGAACUUUCCUGACAAUGACCUUAAAGGACUCGGAGAACUGGGUUUUGUAAAAUCUGAAUUUUGGUCUGAAAGAAAAAGGCCAUGAAAGCAACUUUGAAAAUAUAAUUAUGACAUGUAGUAUUCACGCUUGGUAUGGAAUAUCUCCAGCAAUUUUCUUGAAGUUCAGCUGUAUGUCAGGUCUUCAAUUAAGAAAACAUAAGUCCAACAAGAUGAAUACAAUUAUAGCUGUGAAGCCUGCAGCUGGCUUUGUCUUUGAAGAACAUAUGUUCUGUCGGGAUAGCUCUACUUUUGGAUUCUCACAGAUGAUAGCAGAGGAGCAAAUGGCAUCUGACAUGGAAGUGCAGAUGAAGCCAAAUUGUGGCACAGAAUUCCUGCAUACAGAAAAAAUGGCACCCACUGGCAUUCAUCGAUGCUUGCUGAACAUUUAUGGAGACCAAACAGUGGAUGUGAACACAAUAAUGCGGUGGGUGGUGUGUUCAGCAGUGGCUGCAGUGACAGGAAGGACAAACCAUGUUCUGGACAGCCAUGCAGAUUUCUACAAACAUGGCAUUCAGACUCUUGUUCAUUGCUGGUUAAAAUGCAUAACUAAUAGUAGCAACUGUGUUGAAAAAUAGUAUUUUGUAGCUGAG